This 492-nucleotide ribosomal RNA is filed under the name uncultured bacterium. RNAcentral's name for it is "partial 16S ribosomal RNA". It matches the Rfam family "Bacterial small subunit ribosomal RNA", at positions 29 to 507 of the family's 1533-position model. The record is from RNAcentral.
AGUGAACGCUGGCGGUAGGCCUAACACAUGCCAGUCGAACGGCAGCACAGUAAGAGCUUGCUCUUACGGGUGGCGAGUGGCGGACGGGUGAGGAAUACAUCGGAAUCUACUUUUUCGUGGGGGAUAACGUAGGGAAACUUACGCUAAUACCGCAUACGACCUACGGGUGAAAGCAGGGGAUCUUCGGACCUUGCGCGAUUGAAUAAGCCGAUGUCGGAUUAGCUAGUUGGCGGGGUAAAGGCCCACCAAGGCGACGAUCCGUAGCUGGUCUGAGAGGAUGAUCAGCCACACUGGAACUGAGACACGGUCCAGACUCCUACGGGAGGCAGCAGUGGGGAAUAUUGGACAAUGGGCGCAAGCCUGAUCCAGCCAUACCGCGUGGGUGAAGAAGGCCUUCGGGUUGUAAAGCCCUUUUGUUGGGAAAGAAAAGCAGCAGGUUAAUACCCCGCUGUUCUGACGGUACCCAAAGAAUAAGCACCGGCUAACUUCGUG